GACGAACGCUGGCGGCGUGCCUAAUACAUGCAAGUAGAACGCACAGUUUAUACCGUAGCUUGCUACACCAUAAACUGUGAGUUGCGAACGGGUGAGUAACGCGUAGGUAACCUGCCUGGUAGCGGGGGAUAACUAUUGGAAACGAUAGCUAAUACCGCAUAAUAUUGAUUAUUGCAUGAUAAUUGAUUGAAAGAUGCUAUUGCAUCACUACCAGAUGGACCUGCGUUGUAUUAGCUAGUAGGUGAGGUAACGGCUCACCUAGGCGACGAUACAUAGCCGACCUGAGAGGGUGAUCGGCCACACUGGGACUGAGACACGGCCCAGACUCCUACGGGAGGUAGCAGUAGGGAAUCUUCGGCAAUGGACGAAAGUCUGACCGAGCAACGCCGCGUGAGUGAAGAAGGUUUUCGGAUCGUAAAGCUCUGUUGUAAGAGAAGAACGGGUGUGAGAGUGGAAAGUUCACACUGUGACGGUAUCUUACCAGAAAGGGACGGCUAACUACGUG
This 505-nucleotide ribosomal RNA is filed under the name uncultured bacterium. RNAcentral describes it as "partial 16S ribosomal RNA". It matches the Rfam family "Bacterial small subunit ribosomal RNA", at positions 28 to 507 of the family's 1533-position model. The record is from RNAcentral.